RNAcentral lists this non-coding RNA (21 nucleotides) under Arabidopsis thaliana (thale cress). Lineage: Eukaryota; Viridiplantae; Streptophyta; Magnoliopsida; Brassicales; Brassicaceae. The record is from RNAcentral.
UGCCGUCCGUUCAAGAUAUGC